This 894-nucleotide ribosomal RNA is filed under the name Triticum aestivum (bread wheat). Its description in RNAcentral is "partial small subunit ribosomal RNA". Lineage: Eukaryota; Viridiplantae; Streptophyta; Magnoliopsida; Poales; Poaceae. The record is from RNAcentral.
AUGGGCAAAAGAGCCAUCCGAUACGCCGUGGUGGAUGCCUUCGCGGCUGAGCCCUUCAAGGGCAACCCCGCCGCAGUAUGCCUCCUCGAAGAGGAGGGCGCCUCCGCGGCCAUGGACGACCGGUGGAUGCAGUCCGUCGCCGCCGAGUUCAACCUCUCGGAGACCGCCUUCCUCGCCCGGGACUCCUCCGGGGGAGCCGGCGCAGCCCCGCGGUUCCACCUCCGAUGGUUCACUCCCGUCACGGAGGUUGACCUCUGCGGGCACGCGACGUUGGCCUCUGCGCACUUCCUCUUCACGACUGUUCUUCCGGAGCAUGGCAAGCUGGAGUUCAUGACCAGGUCCGGGAUCCUAACUGCCAAGAAAGUCCCUGCACCAGGGAGCACUGGCGUCCCAGGUGAGGAGCAGGGGAAGCUGUUUAUUGAGCUGGAUUUCCCCAUGAUUGGUUUUCUGGACUGCAACCAAAUGCCGUCGAUUCCAGAGACCCUAAACGGUGCGCCCAUUGUCAGCGUUCACAAAUCGGCUACCGACGGCGACCUCAUUGUGGAACUUUCUUCAGGAAAAGAAGUUGUUAAUAUCCUUCCUAGCAUCGAUGAAAUUAAAAACUUGGCCUGCAGGGGUCUUAUUGUUACAGGACCGGCGCCGGCUGGAUCUGGUUAUGACUUCUUUACACGUUUCUUCUGCCCAAAAUUUGGGAUAGAUGAGGACCCUGUUACGGGCAGUAUACAUUGUGUUUUGGCACCCUAUUGGGGCAGAAAGCUGGGGAAGCAAAAAUUGACGGCAUUUCAAGCGUCUCCAAGGGGUGGAACACUAUACCUGCAACUGGAUGACGCAAAUCAGAGAGUGCAAAUCCAGGGAGAAGCUCUUACUGUGAUGGAUGGGACGCUCCUAGCCUAG